This 429-nucleotide ribosomal RNA is filed under the name bacterium. Its description in RNAcentral is "partial 16S ribosomal RNA". It matches the Rfam family "Bacterial small subunit ribosomal RNA", at positions 355 to 776 of the family's 1533-position model. The record is from RNAcentral.
UAGGGAAUCUUCCACAAUGGACGCAAGUCUGAUGGAGCAACGCCGCGUGAGUGAAGAAGGUUUUCGGAUCGUAAAGCUCUGUUGUUGGUGAAGAAGGAUAGAGGCAGUAACUGGUCUUUAUUUGACGGUAAUCAACCAGAAAGUCACGGCUAACUACGUGCCAGCAGCCGCGGUAAUACGUAGGUGGCAAGCGUUGUCCGGAUUUAUUGGGCGUAAAGCGAGCGCAGGCGGAAUGAUAAGUCUGAUGUGAAAGCCCACGGCUCAACCGUGGAACUGCAUCGGAAACUGUCAUUCUUGAGUGCAGAAGAGGAGAGUGGAAUUCCAUGUGUAGCGGUGGAAUGCGUAGAUAUAUGGAAGAACACCAGUGGCGAAGGCGGCUCUCUGGUCUGCAACUGACGCUGAGGAUCGAAAGCAUGGGUAGCGAACAGG